This 492-nucleotide ribosomal RNA is filed under the name uncultured bacterium. RNAcentral's name for it is "partial 16S ribosomal RNA". It matches the Rfam family "Bacterial small subunit ribosomal RNA", at positions 29 to 507 of the family's 1533-position model. The record is from RNAcentral.
AGUGAACGCUGGCGGUAGGCCUAACACAUGCAAGUCGAACGGCAGCACAGUAAGAGCUUGCUCUUACGGGUGGCGAGUGGCGGACGGGUGAGGUAUACAUCGGAAUCUACUUUUUCGUGGGGGAUAACGUAGGGAAACUUACGCUAAUACCGCAUACGACCUACGUGUGAAAGCAGGGGAUCUUCGGACCUUGCGCGAUUGAAUGAGCCGAUGUCGGAUUAGCUAGUUGGCGGGGUAAAGGCCCACCAAGGCGACGAUCCGUAGCUGGUCUGAGAGGAUGAUCAGCCACACUGGAACUGAGACACGGUCCAGACUCCUACGGGAGGCAGCAGUGGGGAAUAUUGGACAAUGGGCGCAAGCCUGAUCCAGCCAUACCGCGUGGGUGAAGAAGGCCUUCGGGUUGUAAAGCCCUUUUGUUGGGAAAGAAAAGCAGCAGGUUAAUACCCCGCGGUUCUGACGGUACCCAAAGAAUAAGCACCGGCUAACUUCGUG